Molecule: ribosomal RNA, 468 nt
Filed under: uncultured bacterium
Lineage: Bacteria
Description: partial 16S ribosomal RNA
Rfam family: Bacterial small subunit ribosomal RNA
Source: RNAcentral
GACGAACGCUGGCGGCGUGCUUAACACAUGCAAGUCGAACGGAAAGGCCCUGCUUUUGUGGGGUGCUCGAGUGGCGAACGGGUGAGUAACACGUGAGUAACCUACCCUUGACUUUGGGAUAACUUCAGGAAACUGGGGCUAAUACCGGAUAGGAGCUCCUGCUGCAUGGUGGGGGUUGGAAAGUUUCGGCGGUUGGGGAUGGACUCGCGGCUUAUCAGCUUGUUGGUGGGGUAGUGGCUUACCAAGGCGUUGACGGGUAGCCGGCCUGAGAGGGUGACCGGCCACAUUGGGACUGAGAUACGGCCCAGACUCCUACGGGAGGCAGCAGUGGGGAAUAUUGCACAAUGGGCGGAAGCCUGAUGCAGCAACGCCGCGUGCGGGAUGACGGCCUUCGGGUUGUAAACCGCUUUCGCCUGUGACGAAGCGUGAGUGACGGUAAUGGGUAAAGAAGCACCGGCUAACUACGUG